UGAGGAAUAUUGGUCAAUGGGCGAGAGCUUGAACCAGCCAAGUAGCGUGCAGGAUGACGGCCCUAUGGGUUGUAAACUGCUUUUAUAAGGGAAUAAAGUGAGUCUCGUGAGAUUUUUUGCAUGUACCUUAUGAAUAAGGACCGGCUAAUUCCGUGCCAGCAGCCGCGGUAAUACGGAAGGUCCGGGCGUUAUCCGGAUUUAUUGGGUUUAAAGGGAGCGUAGGCCGGAGAUUAAGCGUGUUGUGAAAUGUAGAUGCUCAACAUCUGCACUGCAGCGCGAACUGGUUUCCUUGAGUACGCACAAAGUGGGCGGAAUUCGUGGUGUAGCGGUGAAAUGCUUAGAUAUCACGAAGAACUCCGAUUGCGAAGGCAGCUCACUGGAGCGCAACUGACGCUGAAGCUCGAAAGUGCGGGUAUCGAACA
RNAcentral lists this ribosomal RNA (422 nucleotides) under uncultured prokaryote. RNAcentral's name for it is "bacterial SSU rRNA". It matches the Rfam family "Bacterial small subunit ribosomal RNA", at positions 355 to 774 of the family's 1533-position model. The record is from RNAcentral.